Molecule: long non-coding RNA, 515 nt
Organism: Rosa rugosa (rugosa rose)
Lineage: Eukaryota; Viridiplantae; Streptophyta; Magnoliopsida; Rosales; Rosaceae
Exons: 2
Source: RefSeq, a predicted model, not a curated record
UAUAAUCUUUACUUCAAAAGAAGAAGAAAGAUAUGGCUAGGGCUAACUUGGUUCUACUUCUAGUUGUCUCUCUUCUUGUCCUGAUUUCAGUAGCUGAGAGUAAACGAUUUGCUGUAGGAUUUGCGGAGAAGAAGACUUCCUCGCUGGUCUGUAAUUCUGUUUAUGGUGCAGAGGAAGGUGAUACUUGCACUAGUGUCGCUCAAACGUUCAAACUGAGUCUCGAUGCCUUCCUUUCCAUUAACCCUAAUAUCAAUUGCGACGGCUUCUUUGUGGGUCAAUGGCUCUGUACUGAUGGUGCUCCGAAGUGAGUUACUGCGUACAUUCUCAUAUACGUUCAGUUGAGGACAAAUGAUUGUAUGAAUAAAAAGGAUGGGCUAGCUGAGCUUCUAUCACCUCACUCAAAGCAUUGUUUUCUCAUACCAAAAAAAAAAAAGGCAUUGUUUUCCCCUACUUGUUAAUUUUGUUUAAUAAAUGGUAAUUGCCUUUCAAUAGCCACUGUUGGUCUUAUAAUGCAA